AGAGUUUGAUCCUGGCUCAGAACGAACGCUGGCGGCGUGGAUAAGACAUGCAAGUCGAACGAGAGAAUUGCUAGCUUGCUAAUAAUUCUCUAGUGGCGCACGGGUGAGUAACACGUGAGUAACCUGCCCCCCGAGAGCGGGAUAGCCCUGGGAAACUGGGAUUAAUACCGCAUAGUAUCGAAAGAUUAAAGCAGCAAUGCGCUUGGGGAUGGGCUCGCGGCCUAUUAGUUAGUUGGUGAGGUAACGGCUCACCAAGGCGAUGACGGGUAGCCGGUCUGAGAGGAUGUCCGGCCACACUGGAACUGAGACACGGUCCAGACACCUACGGGUGGCAGCAGUCGAGAAUCAUUCACAAUGGGGGAAACCCUGAUGGUGCGACGCCGCGUGGGGGAAUGAAGGUCUUCGGAUUGUAAACCCCUGUCAUGUGGGAGCAAAUUAAAAAGAUAGUACCACAAGAGGAAGAGACGGCUAACUCUGUGCCAGCAGCCGCGGUAAUACAGAGGUCUCAAGCGUUGUUCGGAAUCACUGGGCGUAAAGCGUGCGUAGGCUGUUUCGUAAGUCGUGUGUGAAAGGCGCGGGCUCAACCCGCGGACGGCACAUGAUACUGCGAGACUAGAGUAAUGGAGGGGGAACCGGAAUUCUCGGUGUAGCAGUGAAAUGCGUAGAUAUCGAGAGGAACACUCGUGGCGAAGGCGGGUUCCUGGACAUUAACUGACGCUGAGGCACGAAGGCCAGGGGAGCGAAAGGGAUUAGAUACCCCUGUAGUCCUGGCAGUAAACGGUGCACGCUUGGUGUGCGGGGAAUCGACCCCCUGCGUGCCGGAGCUAACGCGUUAAGCGUGCCGCCUGGGGAGUACGGUCGCAAGAUUAAAACUCAAAGAAAUUGACGGGGACCCGCACAAGCGGUGGAGUAUGUGGCUUAAUUCGAUGCAACGCGAAGAACCUUACCUGGGCUUGACAUGUAAUGAACAACAUGUGAAAGCAUGCGACUCUUCGGAGGCGUUACACAGGUGCUGCAUGGCCGUCGUCAGCUCGUGUCGUGAGAUGUUUGGUUAAGUCCAGCAACGAGCGCAACCCCUGUUGCCAGUUACCAGCACGUGAAGGUGGGGACUCUGGCGAGACUGCCCAGAUCAACUGGGAGGAAGGUGGGGACGACGUCAGGUCAGUAUGGCCCUUAUGCCCAGGGCUGCACACGUACUACAAUGCCCAGUACAGAGGGGGCCGAAGCCGCGAGGCGGAGGAAAUCCUAAAAACUGGGCCCAGUUCGGACUGUAGGCUGCAACCCGCCUACACGAAGCCGGAAUCGCUAGUAAUGGCGCAUCAGCUACGGCGCCGUGAAUACGUUCCCGGGUCUUGCACACACCGCCCGUCA
This 1371-nucleotide ribosomal RNA is filed under the name uncultured bacterium. RNAcentral's name for it is "bacterial SSU rRNA". It matches the Rfam family "Bacterial small subunit ribosomal RNA". The record is from RNAcentral.